GAGCGGUGAUGACUUCUGCGCUAUUGGUUAUGGAUGGGUCCAUCACAAAUGUCUGAUAUUUCAGAAGAAAAUACGCGCAUCUGAGCUU
Corylus avellana is the source of this 88-nucleotide small nucleolar RNA. RefSeq annotates it as small nucleolar RNA snoR114. The record is from RefSeq and is a predicted model, not a curated record. Lineage: Eukaryota; Viridiplantae; Streptophyta; Magnoliopsida; Fagales; Betulaceae.